This 552-nucleotide long non-coding RNA is filed under the name Cairina moschata (Muscovy duck). RNAcentral's name for it is "domestica (muscovy Duck (domestic type)) lncRNA (ENSCMMG00000009968.1)". The record is from RNAcentral. Lineage: Eukaryota; Metazoa; Chordata; Aves; Anseriformes; Anatidae.
GCAUUAAAUCACAUCCUGUUGUUUGGCUGUAUGAUUGCAAAACUAAAAUGACUGAACACAAUGUGGCAACAUACAUGCUUUAGUAACGCUGCUGCCAACUGUUCUUGGCAUAAAGUGAGUUGACUCAUCUUGAAAAUAGGCCUCUGUUACUUAAAACUGGGGCAGAAUGCAAAUGUUCGUCCUGCUGACCAUCACUGACAUCGUUACCGGUAUUAUUUAUGAAGCAGUGGUGCGCACUCUCAGAAGGCAUCUGCAAGGGGUGUAUUGCAUUAAGCUGAUACAUUACGGUGCUCAACAAAGAAACCCUGCCUUGGUCCUACACAGAGUGAAUCACAAACCUGGAAGUUCAUUUCAGGGCUGCUCUCAUUAUUAAUCAGGUAGGUCUUAAUCCACUGCCUGUGUGAGGGUUUUGUUUGUUUGAUGUUGGUGAGGCUUUCUGAGAUAACACCCAGAUACUGUUAUAAUCUGUAUAGGUUAGAAUGUCCAUAGCUGCCUUUCACCAGCCAACCUUGUAAACUGGGAAAGUGAGACAUGUUAAAUAAUGCAAGUUUG